Molecule: ribosomal RNA, 262 nt
Filed under: uncultured bacterium
Lineage: Bacteria
Description: partial 16S ribosomal RNA
Rfam family: Bacterial small subunit ribosomal RNA
Source: RNAcentral
AUUAACGCUAGCGGCAGGCAUAAUACAUGCAAGUUGAACGGCAGCACAGGUAGCAAUACUGGGUGGCGAGUGGCGCACGGGUGCGUAACACGUAUGCAACCUACCCUAUACAGGCGAAUAACCUUUAGAAAUGAGGGCUAAUACGCCGUAGUAUUACAGAUGGGCAUCUAUUUGUAAUUAAAGAUUUAUCGGUAUAGGAUGGGCAUGCGUCCCAUUAGUUAGUUGGUAAGGUAACGGCUUACAAGACGAUGAUGGGUAGGGG